CGCGAAAACUCUACAAUGCACGAAAGUGUGAUAGGGUAACCCCUCGUGCUCGUCGAAAGGCGGGCUUUUGUUAAGCUUAGCGAGCUUAACGAAUAAGUGGUGGGCAAGACUGGUGCCAGCAGCCGCGGUAAUACCAGCGCCACUAGUGGAGAUCAUGAUUACUGGGUCUAAAGUGUUCGUAGCUGGCUGAGUAAGUCUCUUGUGAAAGUUCUUUGGCUUAACCAAGAAUUUGCAAGAGAUACUGCACAGCUUGAGACCGGAAGAGAUAAGAGGUAUUGAUUGGGUAGCGGUAAAAUGCUAUAAUCCUUUCAAGAUCAACUAAGGCGAAGGCAUCUUAUUUGGACGGAUCUGACAGUGAGGAACGAGAGCCAGGGGAGCGAACCGGAUUAGAUAACCCGGGUAGUCCUGGCCGUAAACGCUGCGAGUUACGCUUUGCUAAUUCUAUGAGGAUUAGCAGGGGGAAGCGAAGGC
Molecule: ribosomal RNA, 471 nt
Filed under: uncultured Nitrososphaerota archaeon
Lineage: Archaea; Thermoproteati; Nitrososphaerota
Description: bacterial SSU rRNA
Rfam family: Archaeal small subunit ribosomal RNA
Source: RNAcentral